AUUUAAAUAGCUUAUAAAAGUAUAAUAUUGAAAAUAUUGAGAUGAUUAUUUUUAAUCUUUAAAUA
RNAcentral lists this transfer RNA (65 nucleotides) under Ichneutes sp. QL-2013. RNAcentral describes it as "tRNA-Phe". Lineage: Eukaryota; Metazoa; Arthropoda; Insecta; Hymenoptera; Braconidae. The record is from RNAcentral.